This is a long non-coding RNA of Solanum dulcamara, 1425 nucleotides long. RefSeq lists it as uncharacterized. The transcript has 4 exons. NCBI's taxonomy places the organism in Eukaryota, Viridiplantae, Streptophyta, Magnoliopsida, Solanales, Solanaceae. The record is from RefSeq and is a predicted model, not a curated record.
UCCACUUUCAUUCUCACACUUCAAAGAAAACUUUCAGAAAGAACCCUAGCCUUUGCCUCUAAUGUUGAAGAAAACUACAUAAAUACACUCAUAGGUGAAGUUAUUUGAUUGUAGGGGUAAUUUUUCGUUCAGAAUCUUGACUUCAACUCAAGAAAUGUCCAAGAAGAUGCUUGAUAUUGGCCAUUGGAGAUAGAGUUUUGGGAACUUUAAGGAAGAUCACAUUUGCAUAUAGGCAUCUAUAUUUUAUUGUAUUUUGAGACAUGUAUAUGAUCUAUGGGGUGCUUGUGUAUAUGUAUUUAUGUAUGUAUUUGUGAAGGUUCCAUUCAUGACAUCAUGGGUUGUAACUUAAAGUUGGUUGCUUGUUUUAUAAUUUUGGGGUAUGUAAUUUCCAAGUCUUAUGAUGUACUAAAUUUAUCUUUGGAGUUGGAGUAUUUGGAUAAAGUAAUAAUUGUAGUGAUAAGGAAUAAUACAUGGAUGUCUCGUAAUAAGUUAUUUUCUUAAAUUAUUUUGAAAGGUCACUCCGUCCUAAAUUGAAACUUUUAUUUGAUUUGAUUGAGAUCAGAGAAUUUUAAACUGGCUAAAAAAACUUACACCUUUAACUAUUUUUAAAUGGGUCAAAUUUCACUGCUAGAUUAUAUAAAUAGGCCUUACGAAAUUUUUUUAAAUGUCACGAAUUUUAUAUACGUUUUUUAGUAGUAGCAUACUCCUUGGAGGGUCGCUACACUGCAAUUGGACAAGACUCAAUGAAGUAUUUCUAUCCACUUGCUUGGACAGUGGUAGAUAGAGAAACAAGUAGAACAUGAAAAUGGUUCAUAGAGUUGCUGAGAAACUCUUUGGAGUUGGCAGAUGGUGAAGGCUUGACACUUAUGUCUGAUAUGCAAAAGGUACUGCUUGGUGUUGUUGGUAAUUUACUACCAAAAGCACAACAUAGAUGGUGUGCAAGGCACAUAGAAGCCAAUUGGUCCAAGAAUUAGAGUGGUGUACAGAUGAAAUAAUUGUUUUAAUGGUCUGCUUGGAGUACAUUUGUAGAAGAAUUUGAAGACCAGUUAAAGAUCAUAGGUUCUGUUAAUGAACAAGCCCCCAAAAAUUUGCUAUGUUAUCCACCACAACACUAGUGCAGGGCCUAUUUUGACAUAGUUUGUAAGAACUUCUCUUGUGAAAAUAACUUCACUGAAUCUUUCAACAAAUGGAUUUUGGAAGCAAGGGCAAAAUCAAUAAUCAAGAUGUUGGAAGACAUUAGAAUCAAGGUUAUGAAAAGGUUGAAAGAACUUGAAGAAGAAGGUAAGAAGUGGACAGAAGAAUAUAGUCCAUAUGCCAUGAAACUUUUUAAUGAUUUCAGAAUCAUUGCACAAGGUUGUUAAGUUGUUGCUAAUGAAGAUUUAGGAUAUGAGGUGGCUGAGGAUAUAGAUAGGCAUGUCGUUAAUC